This 354-nucleotide ribosomal RNA is filed under the name uncultured Desulfobulbus sp. RNAcentral's name for it is "bacterial SSU rRNA". It matches the Rfam family "Bacterial small subunit ribosomal RNA", at positions 1028 to 1382 of the family's 1533-position model. Lineage: Bacteria; Pseudomonadati; Thermodesulfobacteriota; Desulfobulbia; Desulfobulbales; Desulfobulbaceae. The record is from RNAcentral.
CUGGAGACAGGUGCUGCAUGGCUGUCGUCAGCUCGUGUCGUGAGAUGUGGGUUAAGUCCCGCAACGAGCGCAACCCUUGCCUUUAGUUGCCAGCAGUUCGGCUGGGCACUCUAAAGGGACUGCCGGUGUUAAACCGGAGGAAGGUGGGGGAUGACGUCAAGUCCUCAUGGCCUUUAUGACCAGGGCUACACACGUACUACAAUGGCCGAUACAAAGGGCAGCGACACUGCGAGGUGAAGCCAAUCCCGUAAAAUCGGUCUCAGUCCGGAUUGGAGUCUGCAACUCGACUCCAUGAAGUUGGAAUCGCUAGUAAUCGUGGAUCAGCAUGCCACGGUGAAUACGUUCCCGGGCCUU